GGAGAGGAGCGAGGCAAACGGUGGAGAGUGGGGGUGAAUUGAGGAAAUGUGAAAAGCCUUACCCACAUUUGACAAGUACGGAAUAAGCCAGAGAUGGCUUAGAGCUCGAAAGAGAACCGUAACACAAGUGCUGCAUGGCUGUCGUCAGCUCGUGUCGUGAGAAUGUUGGGUUAAGUCCCGCAACGAGCGCAACCCUUGUCAUUAGUUGCUACAUUCAGUUGGGCACUCUAAUGAGACUGCCGGUGACAAACCGGAGGAAGGUGGGGAUGACGUCAAGUCCUCAUGGCCCUUAUAGGUGGGGCUACACACGUCAUACAAUGGCUGGUACAAAGGGUUGCCAACCCGCGAGGGGGAGCUAAUCCCAUAAAACCAGUCGUAGUCCGGAUCGCAGUCUGCAACUCGACUGCGUGAAGUCGGAAUCGCUAGUAAUCGUGGAUCAGAAUGUCACGGUGAAUACGUUCCCGGGUCUUGUACACACCGCCCGUCACACCAUGGGAGCGGGUUCUGCCAGAAGUAGUUAGCCUAACCGCAAGGAGGGCGAUACCACGGCAGGGGGGGCGAAACUGU
This 567-nucleotide ribosomal RNA is filed under the name Variovorax paradoxus. RNAcentral describes it as "bacterial SSU rRNA". It matches the Rfam family "Bacterial small subunit ribosomal RNA", at positions 912 to 1478 of the family's 1533-position model. The record is from RNAcentral. Lineage: Bacteria; Pseudomonadati; Pseudomonadota; Betaproteobacteria; Burkholderiales; Comamonadaceae.